This 406-nucleotide ribosomal RNA is filed under the name uncultured bacterium. Its description in RNAcentral is "partial 16S ribosomal RNA". It matches the Rfam family "Bacterial small subunit ribosomal RNA", at positions 30 to 526 of the family's 1533-position model. The record is from RNAcentral.
AUUGAACGCUGGCGGCAGGCUUCACACAUGCAAGUCUAGCGAGCGGCGGACGGGUGAGUACUGUCUGGGAAUCUGCCUGAUGGAGGGGGAUAACUACUGGAAAUGGUAGCUAAUACCGUAUACCAUCAUAUGUGCCCAGAUGGGUUUAGCUAGUAUGUGGGGUAAUGGCACACCUAGGCGACGACUCCUAGCUGUUCUGAGAGGCUGCCCAGCCUACCUGAAACGGAGACACGGUCCAGGCUCCGACGUGACGCAGCAGUGGGGAAUAUUGCACAAUGGGCGCGAGCCUGAUGCAGCCAUGCCGCGUGUGUGAAGAAGGCCUUCGGGUUGUAAAGCACUUUCAGCGAGGAGGCGUUGCUCGCAGAAGAAGCACCGGCUAACUCCGUGCCAGCAGCCGCGGUAAUAC